UCUAGAAGAUAAAAGGUAAUACUUCUUAAGGAAACCUUCAUUAAAUGGCGGCCUACUUUCUUCUUAGAGGAACUCGUCUCAUAAUCGAUAAUCCUCGUUAUUUUUAACUUUUCCUUUUAUCUCUUAUACCGCCGUCUCAAGACUCAAAUUUCUUUUUCAAAAAAAAACUCUUUUAUCAAGUCAGGUAAAGGUGAGGAAAAUGGGAAAGAGAAGAUAAGUUACUUAUAAACAUUAAUUUAGGAUAUAUCAUUAAAAUUUUUUACGAAUCAGGAUUUAAAAGUAAUUUCUCAUUAAUAUUUUAGCAUGAACUAGUAAAAUUAGGUGC
RNAcentral lists this ribosomal RNA (325 nucleotides) under Conothele sp. MYG546. RNAcentral describes it as "partial 12S ribosomal RNA". Lineage: Eukaryota; Metazoa; Arthropoda; Arachnida; Araneae; Ctenizidae. The record is from RNAcentral.